UACGUAGGGUGCGAGCGUUGUCCGGAAUUAUUGGGCGUAAAGAGCUCGUAGGCGGUCUGUCGCGUCGGUCGUGAAAACUUGGGGCUUAACCCUGAGCUUGCGGUCGAUACGGGCAUGACUGGAGUUCGGCAGGGGAGACUGGAAUUCCUGGUGUAGCGGUGAAAUGCGCAGAUAUCAGGAGGAACACCGGUGGCGAAGGCGGGUCUCUGGGCCGAUACUGACGCUGAGGCGCGAAAGCUAGGGGAGCAAACAGG
This 254-nucleotide ribosomal RNA is filed under the name uncultured bacterium. RNAcentral's name for it is "partial 16S ribosomal RNA". It matches the Rfam family "Bacterial small subunit ribosomal RNA", at positions 524 to 776 of the family's 1533-position model. The record is from RNAcentral.